This 465-nucleotide ribosomal RNA is filed under the name Vreelandella stevensii. RNAcentral describes it as "partial 16S ribosomal RNA". It matches the Rfam family "Bacterial small subunit ribosomal RNA", at positions 338 to 795 of the family's 1533-position model. The record is from RNAcentral. Lineage: Bacteria; Pseudomonadati; Pseudomonadota; Gammaproteobacteria; Oceanospirillales; Halomonadaceae.
CCUACGGGGGGCAGCAGUGGGGAAUAUUGGACAAUGGGGGCAACCCUGAUCCAGCCAUGCCGCGUGUGUGAAGAAGGCCCUCGGGUUGUAAAGCACUUUCAGUGAGGAAGAACGCCUGGUGGUUAAUACCCAUCAGGAAAGACAUCACUCACAGAAGAAGCACCGGCUAACUCCGUGCCAGCAGCCGCGGUAAUACGGAGGGGGGGAGCGUUAAUCGGAAUUACUGGGCGUAAAGCGCGCGUAGGUGGCUUGAUAAGCCGGUUGUGAAAGCCCCGGGCUCAACCUGGGAACGGCAUCCGGAACUGUCAAGCUAGAGUGCAGGAGAGGAAGGUAGAAUUCCCGGUGUAGCGGUGAAAUGCGUAGAGAUCGGGAGGAAUACCAGUGGCGAAGGCGGCCUUCUGGACUGACACUGACACUGAGGUGCGAAAGCGUGGGUAGCAAACAGGAUUAGAUACCCUUGUAGUC